GACGAACGCUGGCGGCGUGCUUAACACAUGCAAGUCGAACGGAAAGGCCCUGCUGUUGUGGGGUGCUCGAGUGGCGAACGGGUGAGUAACACGUGAGUAACCUGCCCUUGACUUUGGGAUAACUUCAGGAAACUGGGGCUAAUACCGGAUAGGAGCUCCUGCUGCUUGGUGGGGGUUGGAAAGUUUCGGCGGUUGGGGAUGGACUCGCGGCUUAUGAGCUUGUUGGUGGGGUAGUGGCUUACCAAGGCUUUGACGGGUAGCCGGCCUGAGAGGGUGACCGGCCACAUUGGGACUGAGAUACGGCCCAGACUCCUACGGGAGGCAGCAGUGGGGAACAUUGCACAAUGGGCGGAGGCCUGAUGCAGCAACGCCGCGUGCGGGAUGACGGCCGUCGGGGUGUAAACCGCUUUCGCGUGUGACGAAGCGUGAGUGACGGUAAUGGGUAAAGAAGCAACGGCUAACUACGUG
RNAcentral lists this ribosomal RNA (468 nucleotides) under uncultured bacterium. RNAcentral's name for it is "partial 16S ribosomal RNA". It matches the Rfam family "Bacterial small subunit ribosomal RNA", at positions 28 to 507 of the family's 1533-position model. The record is from RNAcentral.